AGAAGAGGGGAAAAAGAGAAAGAUAUUUAUUAGCUUUCUACCAUUUUCCUUUGUGGUUUUUUUUUUCAUCUUCCUGUACUACGCUAAUUCAUAGCAUUU
This 99-nucleotide non-coding RNA is filed under the name Amorphochlora amoebiformis. Lineage: Eukaryota; Cercozoa; Chlorarachniophyceae. The record is from RNAcentral.